This 74-nucleotide transfer RNA is filed under the name Nocardia asteroides. Its description in RNAcentral is "tRNA-Arg(cct)". It matches the Rfam family "tRNA". From Rfam's summary of the family: Transfer RNA (tRNA) molecules are approximately 80 nucleotides in length. Their secondary structure includes four short double-helical elements and three loops (D, anti-codon, and T loops). The record is from RNAcentral. Lineage: Bacteria; Bacillati; Actinomycetota; Actinomycetes; Mycobacteriales; Nocardiaceae. RNAcentral also lists the same sequence under 5 other names.
GCCUUCGUAGCUCAGGGGAUAGAGCACCGCUCUCCUAAAGCGGGUGUCGCAGGUUCGAAUCCUGCCGAGGGCAC